CAGUAGCCGCGGUAAUACGAAGGGGGCUAGCGUUGUUCGGAAUUACUGGGCGUAAAGCGCACGUAGGCGGCUUGGUAAGUUAGAGGUGAAAGCCCGGGGCUCAACCCUGGAAUUGCCUUUAAGACUGCCGAGCUAGUAGGUGAGGGAGGUGAGUGGAAUUCCGAGUGUAGAGGUGAAAUUCGUAGAUAUUCGGAAGAACACCAGUGGCGAAGGCGGCUCACUGGACCGACACUGACGCUGAGGCGCGAAAGCGUGGGGAGCAAACAGGAUUAGAUACCCCAGUAGUCCCUGUCUCUUAUAC
Molecule: ribosomal RNA, 301 nt
Filed under: uncultured bacterium
Lineage: Bacteria
Description: partial 16S ribosomal RNA
Rfam family: Bacterial small subunit ribosomal RNA
Source: RNAcentral